RNAcentral lists this ribosomal RNA (228 nucleotides) under uncultured bacterium. RNAcentral's name for it is "partial 16S ribosomal RNA". It matches the Rfam family "Bacterial small subunit ribosomal RNA", at positions 568 to 795 of the family's 1533-position model. The record is from RNAcentral.
UCCGUAGGCGGAUUGAUAAGUCAGAGGUGAAAUCCCACAGCUUAACUGUGGAACUGCCUUUGAAACUGUUAGUCCUGAGUUAUAUGGAAGUAGAUAGAAUGUGUAGUGUAGCGGUGAAAUGCAUAGAGAUUACACAGAAUACCGAUUGCGAAGGCAGUCUACUACGUAUAUACUGACGCUAAUGGACGAAAGCGUGGGGAGCGAACAGGAUUAGAUACCCUGGUAGUC